This 245-nucleotide ribosomal RNA is filed under the name uncultured bacterium. RNAcentral's name for it is "partial 16S ribosomal RNA". It matches the Rfam family "Bacterial small subunit ribosomal RNA", at positions 108 to 353 of the family's 1533-position model. The record is from RNAcentral.
GAGUAACGCGUGGGUAACCUGCCUCAUACAGGGGGAUAACAGUUAGAAAUGACUGCUAAUACCGCAUAAGCGCACAGUGCUGCAUGGCACAGUGUGAAAAACUCCGGUGGUAUGAGAUGGACCCGCGUCUGAUUAGCUAGUUGGUGGGGUAACGGCCUACCAAGGCGACGAUCAGUAGCCGGCCUGAGAGGGUGAACGGCCACAUUGGGACUGAGACACGGCCCAAACUCCUCGGAGGCAGCAUG